Melozone crissalis (California towhee) is the source of this 354-nucleotide long non-coding RNA. RefSeq lists it as uncharacterized. NCBI's taxonomy places the organism in Eukaryota, Metazoa, Chordata, Aves, Passeriformes, Passerellidae. The transcript has 3 exons. The record is from RefSeq and is a predicted model, not a curated record.
UUUUCUCCUCUCUUUCAGGACAGGAAAAACCACUUAACUCAUUCCAUCUUUGCCCAGAGCUUUGGAGUUUGAGCAGCCAAACCCAACGGGCUCCAGCUGCACUGGAGGGUCCCUGGUCCUGCCGUGGUGUGGGAUGCUGGAAUUGCCUCUGUGGAUGUGCACUGAGCUCUCAUGCAGGGAACUGCCAGGCCUUAAUGGUGGGCACCUCCGAGGGCCUUGCUUGGGAUGGAAUUUCUGUGAGGGGAAUUCCCUUGGCUUUCAGGCUGCUGCUGGAGGAUGUCCCCAGGCUGGAAGGGAAGGGACUGGAGUGGCCGGGACACCCCUGGUGGCUGUGUGGGAGCUCCAGGAGGUGGC